UACGUAGGGACCGAGCGUUGUCCGGAAUCAUUGGGCGUAAAGGGCUCGUAGGCGGUUCGUCACGUCGGGAGUGAAAACUCGGGGCUUAACCCCGAGCCUGCUUCCGAUACGGGCAGACUAGAGGUAGGCAGGGGAGAGCGGAACUCCUGGUGUAGCGGUGAAAUGCGCAGAUAUCAGGAGGAACACCGGUGGCGAAGGCGGGUCUCUGGGCCGUAACUGACGCUGAGGAGCGAAAGCAUGGGGAGCGAACAGG
Molecule: ribosomal RNA, 253 nt
Filed under: uncultured bacterium
Lineage: Bacteria
Description: partial 16S ribosomal RNA
Rfam family: Bacterial small subunit ribosomal RNA
Source: RNAcentral